CCCCUAGAUGUUCUGGGCCGCACGCGCGCUACACUGAACAGUUCAACAAGUCUUAACCUUGGCCGAUAGGUCUGGGUAAUCUUUGAACGCUGUUCGUGAUUGGGAUAGACCUUUGCAAUUAUGGGUCUUCAACGAGGAAUUCCUAGUAAACGCAAGUCAUCAGCUUGCAUUGAUUACGUCCCUGCCCUUUGUACACACCGCCCGUCGCUACUACCGAUUGGAUCAUUUGGUGAGGCCCACGGACUGUCGCGCUUCCUUCCUUGUGUUGGUUGCGCUUCUUGGGAAGUGGUACAAACCUGAUGAUCUAGAGGAAGUAAAAGUCGUAACA
RNAcentral lists this ribosomal RNA (328 nucleotides) under uncultured eukaryote. RNAcentral describes it as "partial 18S ribosomal RNA". It matches the Rfam family "Eukaryotic small subunit ribosomal RNA", at positions 1470 to 1796 of the family's 1831-position model. The record is from RNAcentral.